GGUCACAUCACCAAGCCUGACAAAGCUCAAGAAGAUUUGGAUGAUACUCUCAGGCACAUGGUGUGACUCUUGGGGAUGACCCUGUGCAAGGCCAGGAACUGGACUCACUGGUCCUUGUGGGCCCCUUUCAACUCAGCUUAUUCUGUGAAUUAGAGAGAAAUAG
Molecule: long non-coding RNA, 163 nt
Organism: Empidonax traillii (willow flycatcher)
Lineage: Eukaryota; Metazoa; Chordata; Aves; Passeriformes; Tyrannidae
Exons: 3
Source: RefSeq, a predicted model, not a curated record